This 301-nucleotide ribosomal RNA is filed under the name uncultured bacterium. RNAcentral's name for it is "partial 16S ribosomal RNA". It matches the Rfam family "Bacterial small subunit ribosomal RNA", at positions 509 to 809 of the family's 1533-position model. The record is from RNAcentral.
CAGUAGCCACGGGAAUACGGAGGGUGCAAGCGUUACUCGGAAUCACUGGGCGUAAAGGACGCGUAGGCGGAUUAUCAAGUCUCUUGUGAAAUCUAACGGCUUAACCGUUAAACUGCUUGGGAAACUGAUAAUCUAGAGUAAGGGAGAGGCAGAUGGAAUUCUUGGUGUAGGGGUAAAAUCCGUAGAUAUCAAGAAGAAUACCUAUUGCGAAGGCGAUCUGCUGGAACUUAACUGACGCUAAUGCGUGAAAGCGUGGGGAGCAAACAGGAUUAGAUACCCCAGUAGUCCCUGUCUCUUAUAA